UUAGAAGUUGGGAGAAAUGACUAGUCAUGUAUAUCAAUUCUUAGUUUAAAAAAGAAGUUAAAGUAACUAAAAAAAUAUGUGAUUUAAAAGGACAAGAAAGAAAAAGUGAGAAAAGGGAGGAAGUGUUGAAAAAGAAGCUAAAGCCAGAAUGUACGAUUACUCAAGGUGAGCCACAGUUUGGCUCUGAGAUGUGGAACAGCCAGAGCAAGCAUGAGAACUGCGUGGUUUGCAAUGAUCCCAAGAUUAAAAAUAAGCCAAACGGUCAGAAAUCUCCUUCCUUAGAGAAAGCUUUGACAGAGAGAACCAAGUCUUCGUGGUGCCUUCCAGGGGCAAGUACAAGUAGCCUGAGAAUCAAAGCUGGACACCUUGUGGCCAGAGAUACUAAGAGCUAGAUGUGGUGCCCCGGCAGUAGCAACAUGGACCACGAGGACCUUCCCAGAUGCCAAUGUGAUGGGUAGCACCACAAGGACCACACAGGAACCUCCUCUGAGCCGGGAGAGGACUCACAAACAGGCCCAGUGGGAGUGUCUAUGGUACCUCAUCUCAUGCAGCAAAUUUGAGCUGCUCCUCUUCGUGGGGAAAAAGUGGCCCCAUGCGUGCUGUGAUGGAAGACUUUGAGACCGAAACCCCAGAUGUGGAAAUGUCCAUAAUUCUGGUCAGCAAACCCACAUCUAGGCCUUGUCACGUGAAACACACACAUUUGGGCCAUGAUUGUGAAGAACGCAAAUCGCAGUCUUUCCCUUUGGUGGCCUUGUUCUGCCCUUUACAAGAUAAUCUUCCCCUGUGGGCCUGGACCAGAGAUAUGUUGUCAGUUCACUUUAAACUAGUGCUACAAGAAUCACCCACCCAAACAGCCGACUUUCAUUCACCCCUGGUAAAGGACCAGGAGAAGCAGAGUUCCUGACAUUACUGAGGACUUGUUGACGAUGCAAGUCAUGGACAGCCCACCUGUCUCCAGCUCCUGGGAAGCAAUAGGCCAGUGAGGAAUGCAGAAUUCUGGUGGUCAGCUGACAGUGGGAAAACUGACUGCCAGAUCAAAUAACAAGAUAAACACUGAGCACGGUCCACUCUGCCAGCACUGCCCACAGUAGGGUUGGGAAAUGUCUUCUCCCAUGAUGGGG
Molecule: long non-coding RNA, 1121 nt
Filed under: Equus asinus (donkey)
Lineage: Eukaryota; Metazoa; Chordata; Mammalia; Perissodactyla; Equidae
Description: lncRNA (ENSEASG00005009574.2)
Source: RNAcentral